GCCUGACAGGUUCAGUUGGUAAGAGCAUGUGACUCUUGAUCUUGGGGUUGUGAGUUCAAGCCCCAUGUUGGGUG
This 74-nucleotide transfer RNA is filed under the name Canis lupus familiaris (dog). It matches the Rfam family "tRNA". Rfam says of the family: Transfer RNA (tRNA) molecules are approximately 80 nucleotides in length. Their secondary structure includes four short double-helical elements and three loops (D, anti-codon, and T loops). RNAcentral also lists the same sequence under 1 other name. Lineage: Eukaryota; Metazoa; Chordata; Mammalia; Carnivora; Canidae. The record is from Rfam by way of RNAcentral.